This 2244-nucleotide ribosomal RNA is filed under the name Proteus mirabilis. Its description in RNAcentral is "partial 23S ribosomal RNA". It matches the Rfam family "Bacterial large subunit ribosomal RNA", at positions 698 to 2925 of the family's 2925-position model. The record is from RNAcentral. Lineage: Bacteria; Pseudomonadati; Pseudomonadota; Gammaproteobacteria; Enterobacterales; Morganellaceae.
AGUUGCAGGGUAUAGACCCGAAACCCGGUGAUCUAUCCAUGGGCAGGUUGAAGGUUGGGUAACACUAACUGGAGGACCGAACCGACUAAUGUUGAAAAAUUAGCGGAUGACUUGUGGAUGGGGGUGAAAGGCCAAUCAAACCGGGAGAUAGCUGGUUCUCCCCGAAAGCUAUUUAGGUAGCGCCUCGUGAACUCAUCUUCGGGGGUAGAGCACUGUUUCGACUAGGGGGUCAUCCCGACUUACCAACUCGAUGCAAACUGCGAAUACCGAAGAAUGUUAUCACGGGAGACACACGGCGGGUGCUAACGUCCGUCGUGAAGAGGGAAACAACCCAGACCGCCAGCUAAGGUCCCAAAGUCAUGGUUAAGUGGGAAACGAAGUGGGAAGGCUCAGACAGCCAGGAUGUUGGCUUAGAAGCAGCCAUCAUUUAAAGAAAGCGUAAUAGCUCACUGGUCGAGUCGGCCCGCGCGGAAGAUGUAACGGGGCUAAACCAUGCACCGAAGCUGCGGCAGCGACACAAAGUGUUGUUGGGUAGGGGAGCGUUCUGUAAGCCUGCGAAGGUGUACUGUGAGGUAUGCUGGAGGUAUCAGAAGUGCGAAUGCUGACAUAAGUAACGAUAAUGCGGGUGAAAAACCCGCACGCCGGAAGACCAAGGGUUCCUGUCCAACGUUAAUCGGGGCAGGGUGAGUCGACCCCUAAGGCGAGGCUGAAAAGCGUAGUCGAUGGGAAACGGGUUAAUAUUCCCGUACUGGUGGUAACUGCGAUGGGGGAACGGAGAAGGCUAGGUUGUCCGGGCGACGGUCGUCCCGGUUCAAGCAGGUAGGCAGAGUGAUUAGGCAAAUCCGGUCACUUAAUGCUGAGAUGUGAUGACGAACCACUAAGGUGGUGAAGCAAUUGAUGCCCCGCUUCCAGGAAAAGCCUCUAAGCUUCAGGUUACCAACAAUCGUACCCCAAACCGACACAGGUGGUCAGGUAGAGAAUACUCAGGCGCUUGAGAGAACUCGGGUGAAGGAACUAGGCAAAAUGGUGCCGUAACUUCGGGAGAAGGCACGCUGGCGGUAGGUAAAGUCCCUCGCGGACAGAGCUGAAGCCAGUCGAAGAUACCAGCUGGCUGCAACUGUUUAUUAAAAACACAGCACUGUGCAAACACGAAAGUGGACGUAUACGGUGUGACGCCUGCCCGGUGCUGGAAGGUUAAUUGAUGGGGUUAGCGCAAGCGAAGCUCCUGAUCGAAGCCCCAGUAAACGGCGGCCGUAACUAUAACGGUCCUAAGGUAGCGAAAUUCCUUGUCGGGUAAGUUCCGACCUGCACGAAUGGCGUAAUGAUGGCCAGGCUGUCUCCACCCGAGACUCAGUGAAAUUGAACUCGCUGUGAAGAUGCAGUGUACCCGCGGCAAGACGGAAAGACCCCGUGAACCUUUACUAUAGCUUGACACUGAACAUUGAGCCUUGAUGUGUAGGAUAGGUGGGAGGCUUUGAAGUGUGGACGCCAGUCUGCAUGGAGCCAACCUUGAAAUACCACCCUUUAACGUUUGAUGUUCUAACCUAGGCCCAUAAACUGGGUCGGGGACCGUGUCUGGUGGGUAGUUUGACUGGGGCGGUCUCCUCCUAAAGAGUAACGGAGGAGCACGAAGGUUGGCUAAGCAUGGUCGGACAUCAUGCGGUUAGUGCAAAGGCAUAAGCCAGCUUGACUGCGAGAGUGACGGCUCGAGCAGGUACGAAAGUAGGUCUUAGUGAUCCGGUGGUUCUGAAUGGAAGGGCCAUCGCUCAACGGAUAAAAGGUACUCCGGGGAUAACAGGCUGAUACCGCCCAAGAGUUCAUAUCGACGGCGGUGUUUGGCACCUCGAUGUCGGCUCAUCACAUCCUGGGGCUGAAGUAGGUCCCAAGGGUAUGGCUGUUCGCCAUUUAAAGUGGUACGCGAGCUGGGUUUAGAACGUCGUGAGACAGUUCGGUCCCUAUCUGCCGUGGGCGUUGGAAGAUUGAGAGGGGUUGCUCCUAGUACGAGAGGACCGGAGUGAACGCACCACUGGUGUUCGGGUUGUCAUGCCAAUGGCAUUGCCCGGUAGCUAAGUGCGGAAGAGAUAACCGCUGAAAGCAUCUAAGCGGGAAACUUGCCUCGAGAUGAGUCUUCCCUGUCGCUUUAAGCGACCUAAAGGAACGUUUAAGACUAAGACGUUGAUAGGCUGGGUGUGUAAGCGUAGCGAUACGUUGAGCUAACCAGUACUAAUGAACCGUGAGGCUUAA